GUCGACGGUAACAGGCCGCAAGGUGCUGACGAGUGGCGAACGGGUGAGUAAUGCAUCGGAACGUGCCCAGUCGUGGGGGAUAACGCAGCGAAAGCUGUGCUAAUACCGCAUACGAUCUGUGGAUGAAAGCGGGGGACCUUCGGGCCUCGCGCGAUUGGAGCGGCCGAUGUCAGAUUAGGUAGUUGGUGGGGUAAAGGCUCACCAAGCCAACGAUCUGUAGCUGGUCUGAGAGGACGACCAGCCACACUGGGACUGAGACACGGCCCAGACUCCUACGGGAGGCAGCAGUGGGGAAUUUUGGACAAUGGGCGCAAGCCUGAUCCAGCAAUGCCGCGUGCAGGAAGAAGGCCUUCGGGUUGUAAACUGCUUUUGUACGGAACGAAACGGUCUGGGCUAAUACCUCGGGCUAAUGACGGUACCGUAAGAAUAAGCACCGGCUAACUACGUGCCAGCAGCCGCGGUAAUACGUAGGGUGCAAGCGUUAAUCGGAAUUACUGGGCGUAAAGCGUGCGCAGGCGGUGAUGUAAGACAGUCGUGAAAUCCCCGGGCUCAACCUGGGAAUUGCGAUUGUGACUGCAUCGCUGGAGUGCGGCAGAGGGG
RNAcentral lists this ribosomal RNA (600 nucleotides) under bacterium SL3.15. Its description in RNAcentral is "bacterial SSU rRNA". It matches the Rfam family "Bacterial small subunit ribosomal RNA", at positions 61 to 659 of the family's 1533-position model. The record is from RNAcentral.